Molecule: ribosomal RNA, 1671 nt
Filed under: Neopolycystis tridentata
Lineage: Eukaryota; Metazoa; Platyhelminthes; Rhabdocoela; Polycystididae
Description: eukaryotic LSU rRNA
Rfam family: Eukaryotic large subunit ribosomal RNA
Source: RNAcentral
UUAAGCAUAUUAAUAAGCGGAGGAAAAGAAACUAACAAGGAUUCCCUUAGUAGCGGCGAGCGAACAGGGAUUAGCCCWUAACCGAAUCCUGCAGCGCAAGCUGUUUGGAAAUGUGGUUUUUGGUUCAUUCCUUACGGCACACUGACACGUUCUAAGUCCACGUGAUUGUGGCACCAAGCCCAUAGAGGGUGUAAGGCCCGUAUGAACGAUACUGUGUGUCCAGGGUUUGUUCCUAGAGUCGGGUUGUUUGCGAAUGCAGCCCAAAUCAGGUGGUAAACUCCAUCUAAGGCUAAAUAUAACACGAUUUCGAUAGUGAACAAGUACCAUGAGGGAAAGUUGAAAAGAACUUUGAAGAGAGAGUUCAAUAGUGCGUGAAACCGUAUGCAGGUAAACGAGCAAAACCGAAGAGGAGCGUACUCUCUUUGCAUUUCUGUUACGGCAGUGUAAUGUAAAAGGUGCUGGAUUUACCGRCCUUUUGCUUAUGCUUGUUGUGAUGUUGUGCUUUGAGGGCGGCCGACACUGCGAUCGGUGACUAGGUUAGCCUGUCAUUUAGAGGAAGGUGACUUCAUUUUAUGAAGUGUUAUAGCCUCUGAGUACAGCGCUGACUGAACACCGUUUUGCGAUGCAAGCCAUUCUGGUGUACAAAUUGAGAUGURGUAGUUGGUAUUUAUGUUAGCUCCUCGAGAUAGCGUAAAUUAUCAGUUGCUAUGUUUUAGUCUCUGUACGUUGCGUCAAUAAUUGCAGUGAAAUUUAGGUAAUUUGCUUGUCCCGUCUUGAAACACGGACCAAGGAGUUUAACAUGUACGCGAGUCAUUGGGUAUUACGAAACCUAAAGGCGCAGUGAAAGUAAAAGGCUGACAUUUCAGUCUUAGGUAGGAUCUCGGAUUCAAUGUGUUUUUCACGUGAAUUGAGCGCACUACCAGCUCGUCCUAUGCUUUAUUAAGUGGGGCGACGCAAGAGCGUACAUGUUGAGACCCGAAAGAUGGUGAACUAUGCUUGUGUAGGUUGAAGCCAGAGGAAACUCUGGUGGAGGACCGUAGCGAUUCUGACGUGCAAAUCGAUCGUCAAACAUGAGUAUAGGGGCGAAAGACUAAUCGAACCAUCUAGUAGCUGGUUCCUGCCGAAGUUUCCCUCAGGAUAGCUGGCACUCAGGAAAGAAACAGUUUUAUCCGGUAAAGCGAAUGAUUAGCAGUAUUGGGGAUGAAAUAUCCUCAACUGAUUCUCAAACUUUAAAUGGGUGAGAAGCUCAGCUCUCUUAAUUGGAGUUGCAGCAUUGAAUGUGAGUGCCUAGUGGGCCAUUUUUGGUAAGCAGAACUGGCGCUGUGGGAUGAACCAAACGUUUGGUUAAGGUGUCUAACAUAUCGCUCAUCAGAUACCACAAAAGGUGUUGGUUGAUACAGACAGCAGGACGGUGGCCAUGGAAGUCGGAAUCCGCUAAGGAGUGUGUAACAACUCACCUGCCGAAUCAACCAGCCCUGAAAAUGGAUGACGCUGUAGCGAUAGACCUAUACCAAACCGUUACUAUGAGUUGCAAAUUUGUAUAUAGUAACGAGUAGGCAGGCGCCGUGGCGAGCCUUGAAGCUUUGGUKGUAAGACUGAGUGGAGCCGUCACGGGAGCAGAUCUUGGUGGUAGUAGCAAAUAUUCAAGUGAGAACCUUGAAGACUGAAGUG